This 419-nucleotide ribosomal RNA is filed under the name Hydrozetes lacustris. RNAcentral's name for it is "partial small subunit ribosomal RNA". It matches the Rfam family "Eukaryotic small subunit ribosomal RNA", at positions 30 to 432 of the family's 1831-position model. The record is from RNAcentral. Lineage: Eukaryota; Metazoa; Arthropoda; Arachnida; Sarcoptiformes; Hydrozetidae.
GCUUGUCUCAAAGAUUAAGCCAUGCAUGUCUAAGUACAUGCCGUAUUAAGGCGAAACCGCGAAUGGCUCAUUAAAUCAGUUACGGUUCCUUAGAUGUUGACUAUCUACAUGGAUAACUGUGGUAAUUCUAGAGCUAAUACAUGCACAAAAGCUUCGACCUUAGCAGGAAGAAGCGCAUUUAUUAGACCAAGACCAAUGGGGCUGUUCUUACGGGCAGCUCCUCCUAUGUGGUGACUCUGGAUAACUAUUGCUGAUCGCAUGGCCUACGAGCCGGCGACGAAUCUUUCAAGUGUCUGCCUUAUCAACUGUCGAUGGUAGGUUAUGCGCCUACCAUGGUUGUAACGGGUAACGGGGAAUCAGGGUUCGAUUCCGGAGAGGGAGCCUGAGAAACGGCUACCACAUCCAAGGAAGGCAGCAGG